Molecule: ribosomal RNA, 434 nt
Filed under: Ammonia sp. genotype T6
Lineage: Eukaryota; Foraminifera; Rotaliida; Rotaliidae
Description: SSU rRNA
Rfam family: Eukaryotic small subunit ribosomal RNA
Source: RNAcentral
UGUGGCUUAAUUUGACUCAACGCGGGAAAUCUUACCGGGUCCGGACACACUGAGGAUUGACAGAUAUAUACCCCGUGAUUUUAUCGCGGGGUUGAAAGAUGCUAGUUCUUUCAUGAUUAUGUGAUAGGUGGUGCAUGGCCGUUCUUAGUUCGUGGAGUGAUCUGUCUGCUUAAUUGCGUAUCAAUAAUAGAGACCUAGUAUACGCGUAGACUCAUGCGGUAGUGACCCCCCUUCACAGGGCGCGUGUCGCACGUAUGUUAUACGCACAGGUCUCCGAUAGCAACGAACGUGACCGUACUCUAUUGUUGCAGCGACAAUACCUUUCAACGGGUAUUACCGCUGCUUAGCAAGAUUCGUCUUGCAUUAAACUAUAGAGACCGCUGUUUCUUCUUUAAACCAGAGGAAGGAUACGGCAAUAACAGGUCUGUGAUGCC